This 141-nucleotide ribosomal RNA is filed under the name uncultured bacterium. RNAcentral describes it as "partial 16S rRNA". It matches the Rfam family "Bacterial small subunit ribosomal RNA", at positions 355 to 511 of the family's 1533-position model. The record is from RNAcentral.
UGGGGAAUUUUCCGCAAUGGGCGAAAGCCUGACGGAGCAAUGCCGCGUGGAGGUGGAAGGUCUACGGGUCGCCAACUUCUUUUCUCGGAGAAGAAACAAUGACGGUAUCUGAGGAAUAAGCAUCGGCUAACUCUGUGCCAG